ACGCUUAGGCGUGUGACUGCGUACCUUUUGUAUAAUGGGUCAGCGACUUAUAUUCUGUAGCAAGGUUAACCGAAUAGGGGAGCCGAAGGGAAACCGAGUCUUAACUGGGCGUUAAGUUGCAGGGUAUAGACCCGAAACCCGGUGAUCUAGCCAUGGGCAGGUUGAAGGUUGGGUAACACUAACUGGAGGACCGAACCGACUAAUGUUGAAAAAUUAGCGGAUGACUUGUGGCUGGGGGUGAAAGGCCAAUCAAACCGGGAGAUAGCUGGUUCUCCCCGAAAGCUAUUUAGGUAGCGCCUCGUGAAUUCAUCUCCGGGGGUAGAGCACUGUUUCGGCAAGGGGGUCAUCCCGACUUACCAACCCGAUGCAAACUGCGAAUACCGGAGAAUGUUAUCACGGGAGACACACGGCGGGUGCUAACGUCCGUCGUGAAGAGGGAAACAACCCAGACCGCCAGCUAAGGUCCCAAAGUCAUGGUUAAGUGGGAAACGAUGUGGGAAGGCCCAGACAGCCAGGAUGUUGGCUUAGAAGCAGCCAUCAUUUAAAGAAAGCGUAAUAGCUCACUGGUCGAGUCGGCCUGCGCGGAAGAUGUAACGGGG
This 599-nucleotide ribosomal RNA is filed under the name Escherichia coli. Its description in RNAcentral is "partial 23S ribosomal RNA". It matches the Rfam family "Bacterial large subunit ribosomal RNA", at positions 581 to 1180 of the family's 2925-position model. The record is from RNAcentral. Lineage: Bacteria; Pseudomonadati; Pseudomonadota; Gammaproteobacteria; Enterobacterales; Enterobacteriaceae.